Molecule: transfer RNA, 72 nt
Filed under: Camelus bactrianus (Bactrian camel)
Lineage: Eukaryota; Metazoa; Chordata; Mammalia; Artiodactyla; Camelidae
Also listed under: 2 other names
Rfam family: tRNA
About the family: Transfer RNA (tRNA) molecules are approximately 80 nucleotides in length. Their secondary structure includes four short double-helical elements and three loops (D, anti-codon, and T loops).
Source: Rfam by way of RNAcentral
GAGGGUACAGCUCAGUGGUAGAGUGCAUGCUUAGCAUGCAAGAGGUCCCAGAUUCAAUCCCCAGUACCUUCA